CGCCUGUUUAUCAAAAACAUCGCCUCUUGUUCAAUUAUAGGAGGUCCAGCCUGCCCAGUGACUUUGUUCAACGGCCGCGGUAUCCUAACCGUGCGAAGGUAGCGUAAUCACUUGUUCUUUAAAUGAGGACUAGUAUGAAUGGCCCCACGAGGGCUGCACUGUCUCCUUUUUCUAAUCAAUGAAACUAAUCUCCCCGUGAAGAAGCGGGAAUUAUCCUAUAAGACGAGAAGACCCUAUGGAGCUUUAAACAAUUGAAACAUUUGCUUUUCUCCUAACUCCUCCCGAGCUCUUUAUUUUUAUUUAAGCAUUAUUAUUUCUAGUUUUAGGUUGGGGUGACCACGGAGCAAAACUAAACCUCCAUGAAGAAAUGAAUAUUUUUAAGCCACAAACUACUUUUUUAAGCAUCAACAAAUUGACCUUCAUUGACCCAAUAUAUUGAUCAACGAACCAAGUUACCCUAGGGAUAACAGCGCAAUCUACUUCAAGAGCUCAUAUCGACAAGUAGGUUUACGACCUCGAUGUUGGAUCAGGGUAUCCUAGUGGUGCAGCCGCUACUAAUGGUUCGUU
RNAcentral lists this ribosomal RNA (567 nucleotides) under Ameerega trivittata (three-striped poison frog). RNAcentral describes it as "partial large subunit ribosomal RNA". It matches the Rfam family "Bacterial large subunit ribosomal RNA", at positions 1797 to 2577 of the family's 2925-position model. Lineage: Eukaryota; Metazoa; Chordata; Amphibia; Anura; Dendrobatidae. The record is from RNAcentral.